Molecule: non-coding RNA, 1488 nt
Organism: Theobroma cacao (cacao)
Lineage: Eukaryota; Viridiplantae; Streptophyta; Magnoliopsida; Malvales; Malvaceae
Source: RefSeq, a predicted model, not a curated record
CAUCUGAAAAGUUUCUAGUUACUACUGUUGAGGAAUACUUUUGAUCAGUCAUUGUUCCCUUUCUUAUAAUGCAGAGAAUACGAGAAGAAUAUGAUCUUUUUCAAUCUGUUUUUUUCUUUCUUUUUGUUUGUUUAUUUGUUUAUUUUAUUUUUAAUCAUUUUAAAAUAAGCAACGGAUAACCAUUGGUGGCACGGUUUUGUUGUAAUGGUGUCUCUUAAAUACCGUUCAUGAAAUCAUUUUUUGUUGGUGUUUGCAGGGUGUUCUUUAAAAUUAUAAUGAUUCCUGUUUCUGUCAAUAGCCAAGUUUUAUUCCAACUUUCUUAGUUCAAUUUUUUUUUCUUCAUAUUGAUACCAGUAAGCUUCUUACAGGUUGAGGAUAUUGCUUAAUAAAUAGAUUGAGUGACCCAUGGUGUGGGAAUAGUUCUUGUGGAUUCUUUGCUAGUUGGAAAGUGCCUUGCAUAGCCUGUAAAGAUGAAUUUAACAACAUAUAUUUCAUCAGAUAGCAUCUCAGUAUUCUAAUGAUCGUAUGAGCUUGUUUGAUUUUUAAUUGUCUUGUCAGUUAUCACCUGUGGGUCGUGGGAUGAAAGCGAACUCAAUAGCGUACCCUUCCUGUUUCAUCAUUCAGAACUUGAAGCUUUAUGUAAAGGGAAAUGGAUGCCUCCUUCUCCACUCCAUUUCUCCUGAUGGCCUCAUUUGCAACUCAAGGUUUGUAUUCAAAGUUGCUGUGAGGCAGUUAAAUAUUCACCAGACACCAACAAAAUGGUCACUAUGUUUUCUUUUGGUUUUCUUCAAUUAUUUUCCCCUGUACAUAAUUUGAUGGAUCUUGAUCACCGUAUAAUCUCAAUGUAGUUUUCAGUAUGCCAGCUCUGUUAAUUAUCUUUGUGUCGUUCUGAGAGUACAAGUUGAUGCUGCUCAUAGAUGAAGUUGCUUUCUCUUGUUUAUGGAAUUCCUAGCUGCCUGUAUUUACUUGCUUUGCUGCUGAGACACUUUGUAUCUUCAUCUGAUGUUCUAAAUGAAGUUUUAGCGAUUGAUCAUGGGAUAUAUGAAUUAGUCCAAGCUGAAUAGAUGAAAGCUAAAACACUGCAGUUAUGGUGUCAUAAAAGUUGUGUGCUUAGCAUAAAAUGGUUUCUCUAGGUUUUGUUUUUCCUCUUGCCAUGUAUGCUGAUCACAGCUUUGAUAUUUAGGUGAGCUAUUUGCCAGAUUUUUCUUCUGCAUCUAGAUGUCAAAUGCAUAUUGACAUGUCAGAAGGGCUGUGACAAACUCAGUUUGAAGUAGAUUCAGGACGGACACAGGACAUUUACUUCCCUGCUAAGAAGCAAUGUAUAGCUGGCAUUUAGCCAUAAGGAAACAGAUAGUGGUCUGUGUAAAGUGUGCCAUUUCGAUUUUGUUGAUAAUCAUAUUUUAUAUAGAAGAAGAUGUCCUCUGUUGAUAACUUUGUAUGAAAGCUAUUCAAGUCAACCGAGUACAUCAAUAAUGGACGGUUUCUACA